Molecule: ribosomal RNA, 243 nt
Filed under: uncultured Actinomycetales bacterium
Lineage: Bacteria; Bacillati; Actinomycetota; Actinomycetes; Actinomycetales
Description: partial 16S ribosomal RNA
Rfam family: Bacterial small subunit ribosomal RNA
Source: RNAcentral
GCUCGAGUGGCGAACGGUGAGUAACACGUGAGUAACCUGCCCUUGACUUUGGGAUAACUUCAGGAAACUGGGUCUAAUACCGGAUAGGAGCUCCUGCUGCAUGGUGGGGGUUGGAAAGUUUCGGCGGUUGGGGAUGGACUCGCGGCUUAUCAGCUUGUUGGUGGGGUAGUGGCUUACCAAGGCUUUGACGGGUAGCCGGCCUGAGAGGGUGACCGGCCACAUUGGGACUGAGAUACGGCCCAG